This 377-nucleotide ribosomal RNA is filed under the name uncultured Chloroflexota bacterium. RNAcentral describes it as "bacterial SSU rRNA". It matches the Rfam family "Bacterial small subunit ribosomal RNA", at positions 521 to 896 of the family's 1533-position model. The record is from RNAcentral. Lineage: Bacteria; Bacillati; Chloroflexota.
UAAUACGUAGGAGGCGAGCGUUAUCCGGAUUUACUGGGCGUAAAGAGGGCGUAGGCGGCUCUUCAAGUCGGAUGUAAAAUCUCCCGGCUCAACUGGGAGGGACCAUUCGAUACUGCGGGGCUAGAGUGCAGCAGGGGGAGGUGGAAUUCCCGGUGUAGUGGUGAAAUGCGUAGAUAUCGGGAGGAACACCAGUGGCGAAGGCGGCCUCCUGGGCUGUUACUGACGCUGAGGCCCGUAAGCGUGGGGAGCAAACAGGAUUAGAUACCCUGGUAGUCCACGCUGUAAACGAUGGACACUAGGUAUAGGGGGUAUCGACCCCCUCUGUGCCGAAGCUAACGCGUUAAGUGUCCCGCCUGGGGACUACGGUCGCAAGACUA